GACGAACGCUGGCGGCGUGCCUAAUACAUGCAAGUAGAACGCACAGUUUAUACCGUAGCUUGCUACACCAUAAACUGUGAGUUGCGAACGGGUGAGUAACGCGUAGGUAACCUGCCUGGUAGCGGGGGAUAACUAUUGGAAACGAUAGCUAAUACCGCAUAAUAUUGAUUAUUGCAUGAUAAUUGAUUGAAAGAUGCUAUUGCAUCACUACCAGAUGGACCUGCGUUGUAUUAGCUAGUAGGUGAGGUAACGGCUCACCUAGGCGACGAUACAUAGCCGACCUGAGAGGGUGAUCGGCCACACUGGGACUGAGACACGGCCCAGACUCCUACGGGAGGCAGCAGUAGGGAAUCUUCGGCAAUGGACGAAAGUCUGACCGAGCAACGCCGCGUGAGUGAAGAAGGUUUUCGGAUCGUAAAGCUCUGUUGUAAGAGAAGAACGGGUGUGAGAGUGGAAAGUUCACACUGUGACGGUAUCGUACCAGAAAGGGACGGCUAACUACGU
Molecule: ribosomal RNA, 504 nt
Filed under: uncultured bacterium
Lineage: Bacteria
Description: partial 16S ribosomal RNA
Rfam family: Bacterial small subunit ribosomal RNA
Source: RNAcentral